This is a long non-coding RNA of Tympanuchus pallidicinctus (lesser prairie-chicken), 1558 nucleotides long. RefSeq lists it as uncharacterized. Lineage: Eukaryota; Metazoa; Chordata; Aves; Galliformes; Phasianidae. The transcript has 2 exons. The record is from RefSeq and is a predicted model, not a curated record.
AUGCUGGAUGUUUUGUUCUGGAGGAUACCGUGGAAACAGUAUUGAAAGCUUUGCUGAAAUCCUAAAAGAUUACAUUAGCUGGCUUUCCUUGGUCAACCCUUUGGUCUGUAGAGUGUGAACUGUCAGUUAUUGUGAACCGAUAAACGAUGAAUGAAGUGACAAUAAAGGACUGAGCCAACAGACCACCAGGUUCUUUCCCACUGGGGGUUUUCUCCAAUGGUGUGUAGAACAGAAGUAAGCAAUCAAUUCAAGAAACAGAGACAGAGUUGUCCAUAGCAAUGCUAAGAGCUGCAGCCUUAUGAGCCAAGAUCAGAGUGGGGAAGAGGACUUAAGAGAUGCUGCCUCCUGGUCUCCUCUGUCUGCAGCACUUCCAGCUGACACUGUCCCAGUAGCCCAGAUCUGAUGGGGUGACCCCCCCAUCAGAUAAUAAUAGAAGAAUAGAAGAAUAGAAUAAUAAAAGACUUUUCUUUGUCUAUGCUGAACAGCCUGACUUUGGCUAAUCCGAUUCUUCUUUGGCUUGGGAAGCACAUUUUUUUCUUUGUUGUUGCUCCUGGUUCCUAAGCACAAGAUCUGGAAGCUGAUUGUCUAUCUGCCUGCAAGCUGCACUCCUGCCCUGAUAUUCAAGCUGCUGGUUUGGAAACACUUCAAAAGACUUCCAUUCUUCAGAGCUGCUGUCUGCACUGCUGUUACAGGCAGUUUUUAAUGUUUUCUGAUUACAGUAUGGCAUUUAUUAUUAUGCCUUUUAAGACAGCACAACUUUAUUUAUACAUCUUUUUAUUGAAAUAUAUGAAUGAGUCUCCUUUGAGAUACCUGCUCUGUCAAUCCCAGUGCAGGAUUUGAGUAACGUAAUGCCACAGAACAGAAAAUCAGAGGAAGGCAUCUGGGCAGGUUCACCAGUUUGUUUUUAAUGAAACGUUUUAUCCCUUAUUGCUUCUUGAGACAAACGCAGAGUUCUGAACUGGGCAUGCUGUCAAAUCCUCAGGUCUGGCAUAUGGCUCAUAGAGACAUCUUUCUUCUGCUCUUAAACUUUCCCUCCUGUUCCCGUCUUUUAUUUUUCUCUCUUGCUCUUAUGCGCUAUUUAUCUCCUUUCUGUCUUCCCACCCCAGAUUCACUCAUCUCAUUAUCUCUUCUGAUGUCAGAAAAGAUGCUGUUGGUUUACCAUAUGCUGUUAAGAGGUGCUGGUAUCACAAACACAAGUUGCCUUGGAUUGCUGUAAGCCCAUUGACACAUCCAUCAACUUGCUGCUGUUCUCAGUGAAAGCCCAUUCUACCUUCUCUUUUCUGACUUGUUGUUUCCUGUAGGGUGUUUUGUAUGUUUGAAUUUGUUCUGUGCUAAAGGUAGAUAAUAUUCUGGGGUUACUAGCUGACAACUGACUUGAAGUGUAAAUUAUAAUGCUGGUGUUAACUCCAAGCUUAAAAUAUAUAUGCAAGGAGAGUUCAUAGCUGCACUGUGUGAUGCUCUUCUUUCCUGGGAUACUGUAUGUGUGAAGAGUUUGCACAGCUUCAAAAAUACAUGGAAGGGAAAUAAAUUUCACUUAACAAAAAAAACCAAAAAAAAC